This 265-nucleotide ribosomal RNA is filed under the name uncultured bacterium. RNAcentral's name for it is "partial 16S ribosomal RNA". It matches the Rfam family "Bacterial small subunit ribosomal RNA", at positions 88 to 354 of the family's 1533-position model. The record is from RNAcentral.
AUGGCGACCGGCGCACGGGUGCGUAACGCGUAUGCAACCUACCUGUAACAGGGGGAUAACACUGAGAAAUCGGUACUAAUACCGCAUAACGCUGUGAGAGGCAUCUCUUGUGGUUGAAAGUUUCGGCGGUUACAGAUGGGCAUGCGUUGUAUUAGCUGGUUGGUAAGGUAACGGCUUACCAAGGCGACGAUACAUAGGGGGACUGAGAGGUUAACCCCCCACAUUGGUACUGAGACACGGACCAAACUCCUACGGGAGGCAGCAG